CCUACGGGUGGCAGCAGUGAGGAAUAUUGGGCAAUGGGCGCAAGCCUGAACCAGCAAAGCCGCGUGAAGGACGAAGGCUUUCGGGUUGGAAACUUCUUUUCUCAGGGACGAAGCAAGUGACGUUACCUGAGGGAUAAGCCACAGCUAACUAGGUGCCAGCAGCCGCGGUAAUACGUAGGUGGCAAGCGUUAUCCGGAUUUACUGGGUGUACAGGGCGUGUAGGCGGGAAAGCAAGUCAGAUGUGAUAACCAUGGGCUCAACCUGUGGCCUGCAGUUGAACCUGUGGUUCUUGAGUACUGGGGAGGCAGACGGAAUUCCUAGUGUAGCGGUGAAAUGCGUAGAUAUUAGGAGGAACACCAGUGGCGAAGGCGGUCUGCUGGACAGCAACUGACGCUGAGGCGCGAAAGCGUGGGGAGCAAACAGGAUUAGAUACCCCGGUAGUC
Molecule: ribosomal RNA, 443 nt
Filed under: uncultured bacterium
Lineage: Bacteria
Description: partial 16S ribosomal RNA
Rfam family: Bacterial small subunit ribosomal RNA
Source: RNAcentral